GAUGUACACCCUUCGUCCGAAAAAGCUUGUCCCUCAAAUGGAUGUAUCUAGCACUAAGUUAGUGCUAGAUACUUUCAUUUGAGGGAUAAGCUUGGGAUAAGUUUUUUCGGACGGAGGGAGUAUAUG
Molecule: non-coding RNA, 126 nt
Organism: Triticum aestivum (bread wheat)
Lineage: Eukaryota; Viridiplantae; Streptophyta; Magnoliopsida; Poales; Poaceae
Source: Rfam